UGGGGAAUAUUGCACAAUGGGGGAAACCCUGAUGCAGCGACGCCGCGUGAGCGAAGAAGGUUUUCGAAUCGUAAAGCUCUGUCCUAUGAGAAGAUAAUGACGGUAUCAUAGGAGGAAGCCCCGGCUAAAUACGUGCCAGCAGCCGCGGUAAUACGUAUGGGGCGAGCGUUGUCCGGAAUUAUUGGGCGUAAAGGGUACGUAGGCGGUCUAUUAAGUCAGGUGUGAAAGCGUGAGGCUUAACCUCAUUAAGCACUUGAAACUGAUAGACUUGAGUGAAGGAGAGGAAAGUGGAAUUCCUAGUGUAGCGGUAAAAUGCGCAGAUAUUAGGAGGAACACCAGUGGCGAAGGCGGCUAUCUGGACAGUAACUGACGCUGAGGCGCGAAAGCGUGGGUAGCAAACAGG
This 403-nucleotide ribosomal RNA is filed under the name Verrucomicrobiota bacterium. RNAcentral describes it as "Verrucomicrobia bacterium partial 16S ribosomal RNA". It matches the Rfam family "Bacterial small subunit ribosomal RNA", at positions 355 to 776 of the family's 1533-position model. Lineage: Bacteria; Pseudomonadati; Verrucomicrobiota. The record is from RNAcentral.